Molecule: transfer RNA, 45 nt
Filed under: Marinobacterium stanieri
Lineage: Bacteria; Pseudomonadati; Pseudomonadota; Gammaproteobacteria; Oceanospirillales; Oceanospirillaceae
Rfam family: tRNA
About the family: Transfer RNA (tRNA) molecules are approximately 80 nucleotides in length. Their secondary structure includes four short double-helical elements and three loops (D, anti-codon, and T loops). Further hydrogen bonds mediate the characteristic L-shaped molecular structure. tRNAs have two regions of fundamental functional importance: the anti-codon, which is responsible for specific mRNA codon recognition, and the 3' end, to which the tRNAs corresponding amino acid is attached (by aminoacyl-tRNA synthetases). tRNAs cope with the degeneracy of the genetic code in two manners: having more than one tRNA (with a specific anti-codon) for a particular amino acid; and 'wobble' base-pairing, i.e. permitting non-standard base-pairing at the 3rd anti-codon position.
Source: Rfam by way of RNAcentral
GGGCUCAUAAUCCAUUGGUCGCAGGUUCAAGUCCUGCUGGGCCCA